This 1850-nucleotide long non-coding RNA is filed under the name Homo sapiens (human). RNAcentral describes it as "non-protein coding lnc-TOP1-4:1". The stretch from base 680 to 869 matches the Rfam family "U2 spliceosomal RNA". The record is from RNAcentral. Lineage: Eukaryota; Metazoa; Chordata; Mammalia; Primates; Hominidae.
AGUUCGGUUUUGCUUUCACUGUGACAAAGCAGCAUCAAAUUCAAUGCAAUGUCUCACAAUAGCUGCGCUCUCCCUCUUCCAAGCACAGAGAUUCUCUCUCUACGCCACAAAGCCACUGCCAUGGGAUGGGGACAGGUGGCAUCAGCAACUCAAGACUGUCUUCCCUACCCUCUUCAUUGCCUCUUUCAACAGUAUGAAGUUAAAAUCAGGACUACCCAGGCAGGGGGAGCUGCAAAGACCUUGGUUUCUCUGGCCCUUCCAACAGCAAGUAUCGCCAGGAGCAGCUCCCUAAUCUACAUACUACAGAUCUAUCCACAAGAAGACAGAUGGAACCACUCUUUUCUUCUGAAUUCUAGAACCUUAAGGAAGUUAACCUGAGUGGCUCAGCUUGGAUCAAGUGCCCAUCCUGGUCCAAACAACUGUAGCAGCACAUCUGUGUAUUUGUGUAUCUUGUUCCUCCAUAAUCUUGCAGUCCGGGGAAAGUGUGCAGAUGGAUGGGUCCCUGAAAAGCAAGAGUUGUUUAGACAACGCUAGAGGUGUUCAGUUCUGGGAGACAAGAGUUGGGCCAGGUUGAUAACUAGCCUAAGAGAGUCGGAAUCAGAUGAAUAAGAACUAGAUCUUGGGUGACAACCUAGAUCAAGAGUCUUGAGGUUCAGUCAUUUCAAAAAGCUCAAGUCUCAUUGCUUCUUGGCCUUCUGGCUAAGAUCAUGUGCAGUAUCUGUUCUUACCAGUUUAAUAUCUGAUACAUCCUCUAUCUGAGGAUAAUAUAAUAAAUAGAUUUUUGGAGCAAGGAGAUGGAAUAGGAGCUUGCUCUGUCCACUCUACACAUUGGCCUGGAUUGCAGUACCUCCAGGAAUGGUGCACCCUCUCUACCACCCCCAAAAAGCCCAAGUCUCAAGAGGUAGUCUGGAAAAAAGUGUUUUUGGAUUUACCUACAUUUUUUUUUCCAAGAUGGAGUCUCGCUCUGUCACCCAGGCUGGAGUGCAGUGGCGCCAUCUUGGCUCACUGUAACCUCUGCCUCCAGGAUUCAAGCAGUUCUCCUGCCUCAGUCUCCCAAGUAGCUGGGAUUACAGGUGUGUGCCAACCAUGCUCAGCUAAUUUUUCUAUUUUUAGUAGAGACAGGGUUUCACCAUGUUGGCCAGGCAGGUCUCAAAGUCCUGACCUCAGGUGAUCUGCCUGCCUUGGCCUCCCGAAGUGCUAAGAUUACAGGCGUGAGCCACUGCGCCCGGCCUAAUUUUUGUAAUUUUAGUAGAGACGAGUUUUCACCAUGUUGACCAGGCUGGUCUCGAACUCCUGACCUCAGGUGAUCCACCCCCGCCCUCGGCCUCCCAAAGUGCUGGCACUACAGGCAUGAGCCACCGCUCCUGGCCGGGUUUGCCUACAUUUUGGAGAUGCUGCACACCAUGUCCCUCUUUUCAAGAGUCACGUAAGUAUUUACAUAUGGAAGACCCUGAGAAGGCACCUGGGAAAAAACCUGUUUAACUGUAAAUAUAAUAAUGUAUGUAUUUGUAUGUGGAGCUCUUCUUUUAGUGGAUUAUCUAUAAACCGUCCACUGUUCCCAAUGCAUACUUUGGAGACAGACCUACACUACCAGUUUUCACCUGCUAGUUAUUUUUAUAAGGGUUGGGAUGGUCCAUGAGUGAACAGUCUUGAUUUAAAGCAGUGUUUCCCAAACCUCAUUUAUUUGCCUAUAGCCUUCCUGGAGUUUGUCUUAUAUGUCCGCUCUGUGCACUAUUCCUAUAUGUUUUUAUGUAAAUCAAUCACUUUUUUAAAAAGCCUCAUCCCAGUUAUAUCCUUAAAACAAUGGUUAUUUUUUCUCAUACACAUCGAAAUACAUAUCUAUUAGAAUU